This 253-nucleotide ribosomal RNA is filed under the name uncultured bacterium. Its description in RNAcentral is "partial 16S ribosomal RNA". It matches the Rfam family "Bacterial small subunit ribosomal RNA", at positions 524 to 776 of the family's 1533-position model. The record is from RNAcentral.
GACGUAGGGCGCGAGCGUUGUCCGGAUUUAUUGGGCGUAAAGAGCUCGUAGGCGGCUUGUCGCGUCGACCGUGAAAACUUGGGGCUCAACCCCAAGCCUGCGGUCGAUACGGGCAGGCUAGAGUUCGGUAGGGGAGACUGGAAUUCCUGGUGUAGCGGUGAAAUGCGUAGAUAUCAAGAGGAACACCUGAGGCGAGGGCGGGUUGCUAGGCUGACACUGACGCUGAGGCGCGAAAGCUAGGGUAGCAAACGGG